Molecule: transfer RNA, 72 nt
Filed under: Araneus ventricosus
Lineage: Eukaryota; Metazoa; Arthropoda; Arachnida; Araneae; Araneidae
Description: tRNA-Pro
Source: RNAcentral
UGGGUCGGCCGGGAUUUGAACCCGGGACCUCUCGCUCCCUAAGCGCGAAACAUACCCCUAGACCACCGAACC